AGCUCCAAUAGCGUAUAUUAAAGUUGUUGCAGUUAAAAAGCUCGUAGUUGGAGUUGUGGUUAAUGGAAGGCUUCCAUUCCUCUUUGGUUUUGGUAUCGCCUUUUGUUUCCAUCCUUGGGUCUAUUUUGUGUGGCAUUAGGUUGUCGUGCAAGGGAUGCCCACCAUUUACUGUGAAAAAAUUAGAGUGUUCAAAGCAGGCUUAUGCCGUUGAAUAUAUUAGCAUGGGAUAAUGAUAUAGGACCUUGGUGCUAUUUUGUUGGUUUGUGCGCCAAGGUAAUGAUUAAUAGGAUCAAUUGGGGAUAUUCGUAUUCCACUGUCAGAGGUGAAAUUCUUGGAUUUUUGGAAGACGAACUACUGCGAAAGCAUUUAUCAAGGAUGUUUUCAUUAAUCAAGAACGAAA
Molecule: ribosomal RNA, 400 nt
Filed under: phytoplankton environmental sample
Lineage: Eukaryota
Description: partial small subunit ribosomal RNA
Rfam family: Eukaryotic small subunit ribosomal RNA
Source: RNAcentral